Molecule: ribosomal RNA, 253 nt
Filed under: uncultured bacterium
Lineage: Bacteria
Description: partial 16S ribosomal RNA
Rfam family: Bacterial small subunit ribosomal RNA
Source: RNAcentral
UACGGAGGGUGCAAGCGUUAAUCGGAAUUACUGGGCGUAAAGGGUGCGUAGGUGGUCUGAUAAGUUAUGUGUGAAAUUCCUGGGCUCAACCUGGGGUGGUCAGAUAAGACUGUUAGACUCGAGUAUGGGAGAGGGUAGUGGAAUUUCCGGUGUAGCGGUGAAAUGCGUAGAGAUCGGAAGGAACACCAGUGGCGAAGGCGGCUACCUGGCCUAAUACUGACACUGAGGCACGAAAGCGUGGGGAGCAAACAGG